UACAGAGGUCUCAAGCGUUGUUCGGAUUCAUUGGGCGUAAAGCGUGCGUAGACGGUUAUGUAAGUCGGGUGUGAAAGCCCCGGGCUCAACCUGGGAAUUGCAUUCGAGACUGUGUAGCUAGGGUACGGAAGAGGGAAGCGGAAUUUCAGGUGUAGCGGUGAAAUGCGUAGAUAUCUGAAGGAACACCAGUGGCGAAAGCGGCUUCCUGGUCCAGUACCGACGUUCAGGCACGAAAGCGUGGGGAGCAAACAGG
This 253-nucleotide ribosomal RNA is filed under the name uncultured bacterium. RNAcentral describes it as "partial 16S ribosomal RNA". It matches the Rfam family "Bacterial small subunit ribosomal RNA", at positions 524 to 776 of the family's 1533-position model. The record is from RNAcentral.